RNAcentral lists this ribosomal RNA (615 nucleotides) under uncultured bacterium. Its description in RNAcentral is "bacterial SSU rRNA". It matches the Rfam family "Bacterial small subunit ribosomal RNA", at positions 41 to 651 of the family's 1533-position model. The record is from RNAcentral.
GGCAUGCCUUACACAUGCAAGUCGAGCGGCAGCACGGGAGCAAUCCUGGUGGCGAGUGGCGAACGGGUGAGUAAUACAUCGGAACGUGCCCAAUCGUGGGGGAUAACGUAGCGAAAGCUACGCUAAUACCGCAUACGAUCUACGGAUGAAAGCGGGGGAUCGCAAGACCUCGCGCGAAUGGAGCGGCCGAUGGCAGAUUAGGUAGUUGGUGGGGUAAAGGCUCACCAAGCCGACGAUCUGUAGCUGGUCUGAGAGGACGACCAGCCACACUGGGACUGAGACACGGCCCAGACUCCUACGGGAGGCAGCAGUGGGGAAUUUUGGACAAUGGGCGCAAGCCUGAUCCAGCAAUGCCGCGUGCAGGAUGAAGGCCUUCGGGUUGUAAACUGCUUUUGUACGGAACGAAACGGUGAGCUCUAAUACAGUUUGCUAAUGACGGUACCGUAAGAAUAAGCACCGGCUAACUACGUGCCAGCAGCCGCGGUAAUACGUAGGGUGCAAGCGUUAAUCGGAAUUACUGGGCGUAAAGCGUGCGCAGGCGGUUAUGUAAGACAGAUGUGAAAUCCCCGGGCUUAACCUGGGAACUGCAUUUGUGACUGCAUAGCUAGAGUACGG